This 402-nucleotide ribosomal RNA is filed under the name uncultured bacterium. Its description in RNAcentral is "bacterial SSU rRNA". It matches the Rfam family "Bacterial small subunit ribosomal RNA", at positions 355 to 774 of the family's 1533-position model. The record is from RNAcentral.
UCGGGAAUUUUGGGCAAUGGGCGAAAGCCUGACCCAGCAACGCCGCGUGAGGGAUGAAGUAUUUCGGUAUGUAAACCUCGAAAGAAUGGGAAGAAUAAAUGACGGUACCAUUUAUAAGCUCCGGCUAACUACGUGCCAGCAGCCGCGGUAAUACGUAGGAAGCAAGCGUUGUUCGGAUUUACUGGGCGUAAAGGGCGCGUAGGCGGCGCGGUAAGUCACUUGUGAAAUCUCUGAGCUUAACUCAGAACGGCCAAGUGAUACUGCUGUGCUAGAGUGCGGAAGAGGCAACCGGAAUUCUUGGUGUAGCGGUGAAAUGCGUAGAUAUCAAGAGGAACACCUGAGGCGAAGGCGGGUUGCUGAGCCGACACUGACGCUGAUGCGCGAAAGCCAGGGGAGCAAACG